AAAACUCUCAAGUGUGGGGCUCGCCUUGGACGCAGUCUUCUGAUUAGGCUGUGCCUCCACCAUGAAAUUCACACGCGUGUCUCACCCUUGUCCUGCCCCCUGCCCAGGUGGGACGGUGUGACGAGGGGGCUGGAGCUGGGUACAGCCCUUCUCCCAGCUCAGGUGGGCUCUGACUAAAUGAGCGGCAAAACACAUAAAACAGCCGGCAGGUGACUGGGUCUCCUUGGAGCUUUUAUCUCAAACGUGUAGCACGGAGCCUGCACCAGCUGCCUCAGCCAAGCUCGAUUGAAUAUCCCUUUGGCAUCGGAAGGUUUUGGAUUUCAGAUUUGGAAGAUUUGCAUGAUCUUGUUAAGUUGUCCAGGCUGGGCUGGAAUUUUCCAUUCUCCUGCCUCAGUCUCCCAGAGUGCCGAGGGCAUAGGCAUGCACCAUCAUCCCUGAUGUGGAUUUCGUAUUGUUGCCCUCUGCUCUGGAGAGCUGGGUUGAGGCCCCUAUUAUAAUCUGUAACUCCAGGCCGAUAAAGGAGAGGGACAAUCUUUGUGUGGCAGCCUGAAAAUCAGAUGAUGAUGCAGUUUCACUUAUGAAGACUUGUUGAGAUAAAUGAACAAGGAAUUCUUGCCACAGCUCCAUGGUCUCCAGUGUUAACAUUUCUGCAUUCAUCCUGGGCAGACUUGCUCUUCCUCCAUCAAUCCAAAGGAUUCCUUUGUUUCUAAUAACACCAAAGCCUCAGACUUAAAUCAGCCUAGGAGUCAGCAGCCAAAACGGACACCUCAUGUUUAUCCUAUUGUAUCAAUGUUCCAUGGUGUUUGCAAACAAAGAAUAUAUAGAAGGCUAUGAAAGCUAUCUGAGCAGGGCUGCUUUGUCACAGAUUUUAGCCAUGGAGACACUGAGCUUGACACAGAGGACAAGAGAGAGAAAGAAAAAUGAGCUUUGUGGAAAGUUUUCCAGGAAGUGAAAAGUCCACUUGCUAAUUCCCCCUGAGUGACUGAAUGGCGACAGCUGGUAAAAUAGAUGGCAUGGUUAUUCAUGUCCUUUUUUUGGAACCCGUGACUGCUAUUUCUUGGUGGCCCAGUGGUAGGUUGGAUAGGUGGCUUGCUCAGCCACCAGUGAACAGAGAGACCCAGAAGGUUAGAUGUUUCAGAAGGUGUUAGAAGCAAUCAAGCUUGUAUUCAAGGGGGAUAGCAGGUAGUAGGAGACAUGAAUGAACUUUCUGGAAUGAUGGACAAGUCUAUAUCCUGACUGGGUUUUAGUUAUACAGGUAUUAGUUGAAACUCAAUGAACUGCAUGCUUAUGUUUUGGACAUUCCCAUAAAAUGUAAAUUUUAUCUCAAUAAAAGUAAUCCUUCACACUAGACAGGAAGGAGGCAGCCUUGGAGAUACACAGAACAGCCCUAGAAUGUUUCUAAGAAUUUAAAAAAUAUGUGUCUUAGUCAUUUUUCUGUUGCUUGGACAAAA
Non-coding RNA from Heterocephalus glaber (naked mole-rat), 1451 nucleotides. NCBI's taxonomy places the organism in Eukaryota, Metazoa, Chordata, Mammalia, Rodentia, Bathyergidae. The record is from RefSeq and is a predicted model, not a curated record.